RNAcentral lists this ribosomal RNA (501 nucleotides) under uncultured bacterium. RNAcentral's name for it is "partial 16S ribosomal RNA". It matches the Rfam family "Bacterial small subunit ribosomal RNA", at positions 30 to 523 of the family's 1533-position model. The record is from RNAcentral.
AUUGAACGCUGGCGGCAGGCUUAACACAUGCAAGUCGAGCGGGGGAAGGUAGCUUGCUACCGGACCUAGCGGCGGACGGGUGAGUAAUGCUUAGGAAUCUGCCUAUUAGUGGGGGACAACAUCUCGAAAGGGAUGCUAAUACCGCAUACGUCCUACGGGAGAAAGCAGGGGAUCUUCGGACCUUGCGCUAAUAGAUGAGCCUAAGUCGGAUUAGCUAGUUGGUGGGGUAAAGGCCUACCAAGGCGACGAUCUGUAGCGGGUCUGAGAGGAUGAUCCGCCACACUGGGACUGAGACACGGCCCAGACUCCUACGGGAGGCAGCAGUGGGGAAUAUUGGGCAAUGGGGGGAACCCUGAUCCAGCCAUGCCGCGUGUGUGAAGAAGGCCUUAUGGUUGUAAAGCACUUUAAGCGAGGAGGAGGCUACUUUAGUUAAUACCUAGAGAUAGUGGACGUUACUCGAAGAAUAAGCACCGGCUAACUCUGUGCCAGCCGCCGCCGUAA